Carassius gibelio (silver crucian carp) is the source of this 542-nucleotide long non-coding RNA. RefSeq lists it as uncharacterized. The record is from RefSeq and is a predicted model, not a curated record. NCBI's taxonomy places the organism in Eukaryota, Metazoa, Chordata, Actinopteri, Cypriniformes, Cyprinidae. The transcript is spliced from 3 exons.
UCGAGGCCCGCCCCUUCCUGACUUAGACGCUUCCUGUCUUGCAGGUAUGUGCUUGCUAGCGAAUGCAAAUCAGUGGUGCGCUUGUGGUAACCAGCAUUAUUUUGAAUCAUAGUUUCCGACAUAUAACCAUCUCAUGUUGCUUGGCGACUGCUUUUAAAUGCACUUCCGCUGCAUUUCCACCCCUUCUUGCCGGUUUGAUGUCUGUUUGCGUGUGCGGCUGGACGUGUGAUCAUAGCUACGAUAAAAAGGAACCGAGGCUUCAGGCAGACUGCUAGUUGGCCCUUGUGUGCGGUGGUGGGACUCUGUCAAAGAGUGCAGUGUGUUCACGCUUGACCUUACCGUGUGUGUGUGGUGCGAAUUGUGCACUUGGUGUUAUGCUUCUGGCAAUAUAGUAGCCACAUACUCAUUAAGCUAGCCUACCUGCCUUAGACAGAUGUGAUCAAGCCCAAAGGCCAGUCAUUCCUUGAAGACUGAACUUGUUUCAACAACACAACAUCUCCAAUGUGCAAGUUUCGGUGAGUGUUUUCAUUUUCUGGACUUCC